RNAcentral lists this long non-coding RNA (762 nucleotides) under Vulpes vulpes (red fox). RNAcentral's name for it is "lncRNA (ENSVVUG00000028021.1)". Lineage: Eukaryota; Metazoa; Chordata; Mammalia; Carnivora; Canidae. The record is from RNAcentral.
UUUAAGUUUGGGCUCUGUCACCUAAUACCUCAGUGACCUUGGGCAAGUCUCAGGCAGAGCUUUUGGUUUCAGCUUUUUUUUUUCUUUUUAAGGUUUUAUAUUAUUUAUUCAUGAGAGACACACAGAGAGAGGCAGAGACACAGGCAGAGGGAGAACCAGGCUCCCUGCGGGGAGCCCGACGCGGGACUCGAUCCCAGGACCUCGGGAUCAUGCUCAACCACAGAGCCACCCAGGAGUCCCUCGGUUUCACCUUUCAGAGCUUCCAUUUCCUUAUCUAAAGAAAGGAAAGAACUGCUACUCAUGGGAGAGGCUCUGAUGCCAGAUCCAGAAGCUAAGCCUACUUCUGAAGAAUGGACACAAAAAUAACAUCUUCAAGUCUUCAGCACACAUCUGUGUAUUUGAAUUAAUGUGUUGUGUUUCUUAAACCUUUGGAGCAAUGGAAGCCCUGAAAUUAAAAUAGUGAAAUAUGAGUCCUAUCUGGCCUCAGCCAUCCUCCUGAUUUAUUGGGGGUGCUUACACCUUAGUCUAUGCCUUAUGGUUCCCCAUCUGAAAAAAGAGGUGCUGGAUUUCAAGGUGUUCAUCUCAAGACCAACCUCCUGCAUGCCAACUUCUGCCUCAAAGGAAGAGGGGAGCCCAACUGUAAAAGUGUUGAAGAACACAGUGAAAAUGAGGAAUAUGAUUCACUUGAGCCCACUGAGUAUUGACUUCUUUAUUGUCAGACUACAAGAAUGAUGGACAAUGAGUAAAGAUUCUGCUUUUCCG